AUGCAUGCCACCAUCUCAGGAAAACAAAGAUGCAUAUCUCCCCCGCUGCCGCCGGCAACCCGGAGCCAUAGGGUUUGCUGGGAAACGAUGCAAGGAGAUUUGGUUCGGCUGGUCGCGUCGCGCUUGCUGGCCGGCAAUUUACUGGAUUACGUCCGUUUCCGUGCUGUCUGUGUGCAAUGGCGAUCAGAGACUCUCUGCCCGCGUGGCCGUGGCGUCGUUGAUCCACGUUUCCACCCGCGCCGCUGGACGAUGUUCCCCGAGGGCCGUGGCCUUUAUCCUGGACACCCCGGGCUGGGUGACUAUGUCCGCUUCUUCAACCUAGACUCAGGUGUCUUUGUCCGUGUCCGCCUCCCGCUGUUUACCAACCAUUGUAUUCUUGAUUCGAUCUACGGCCUACUCCUCCUCCAGAGGGAUGAAGACACAGCCGUCCGUCUCCUCCACCCUUUCACCGGUGACAUCGUUGAGCUUCCACGGCUCACCACCCUGGUCUCGCAGAAGCCCGAGGGAGGAGCUUGGCCCCUCGAGAUCAAGACGAUGAGAUACAUCUCUACUAGUGCUUCCUUUGUUGCAGGAGCAGUCACUGUUUUGAUUACCUUCAAUUUGUAUUUUUGUGGGGCUGUUGCUACCUCUCUAGAUACGCAAUGGACGAUGCUAAGUUGGACAUGCCCAGGGUCAUAUAUCAAUGGACCUCUGCCAUUACACGGAAAGAUAUACGAUGUUCCUGCCUUCUUCGAUGAUAGGAAUGGUGCACCACGGAUUUUUGAGAUUUUUUUUUUCGAAAAGGGGUUCUCCCCGGCCUCUGCAUCAAGAGUGAUGCAUACGGCCAUAUUAUUAACAAAAUAA
Molecule: ribosomal RNA, 843 nt
Filed under: Triticum aestivum (bread wheat)
Lineage: Eukaryota; Viridiplantae; Streptophyta; Magnoliopsida; Poales; Poaceae
Description: partial small subunit ribosomal RNA
Source: RNAcentral